RNAcentral lists this ribosomal RNA (253 nucleotides) under uncultured bacterium. RNAcentral's name for it is "partial 16S ribosomal RNA". It matches the Rfam family "Bacterial small subunit ribosomal RNA", at positions 524 to 776 of the family's 1533-position model. The record is from RNAcentral.
UACAGAGGGUGCAAGCGUUGUUCGGAAUCACUGGGCGUAAAGGGCGCGUAGGCGGCUUUAUAAGUCGGGGGUGAAAGCCUGUGGCUCAACCACAGAAUUGCCUUCGAUACUGUAGAGCUUGAGACCGGAAGAGGUAAGUGGAACUGCGAGUGUAGAGGUGAAAUUCGUAGAUAUUCGCAAGAACACCAGUGGCGAAGGCGGCUUACUGGUCCGGUUCUGACGCUGAGGCGCGAAAGCGUGGGGAGCAAACAGG